Molecule: ribosomal RNA, 512 nt
Filed under: uncultured bacterium
Lineage: Bacteria
Description: partial 16S ribosomal RNA
Rfam family: Bacterial small subunit ribosomal RNA
Source: RNAcentral
GACGAACGCUGGCGGCGUGCCUAAUACAUGCAAGUCGAGCGGAUUGAUGGGAGCUUGCUCCCUGACAUCAGCGGCGGACGGGUGAGUAACACGUGGGCAACCUGCCUAUAAGACUGGGAUAACUUCGGGAAACCGGAGCUAAUACCGGAUAAUCCCUUUCCUCUCAUGAGGAAAGGCUGAAAGAUGGUUUACGCUAUCACUUAUAGAUGGGCCCGCGGCGCAUUAGCUAGUUGGUGAGGUAACGGCUCACCAAGGCAACGAUGCGUAGCCGACCUGAGAGGGUGAUCGGCCAAACUGGGACUGAGACACGGCCCAGACUCCUACGGGAGGCAGCAGUAGGGAAUCUUCCGCAAUGGACGAAAGUCUGACGGAGCAACGCCGCGUGAGUGAUGAAGGUUUUCGGAUCGUAAAACUCUGUUGUCAGGGAAGAACAAGUACGAGAGUAACUGCUCGUACCUUGACGGUACCUAACCAGAAAGCCACGGCUAACUACGUGCCAGCAGCCGCCGUAA